Molecule: ribosomal RNA, 525 nt
Filed under: Triticum aestivum (bread wheat)
Lineage: Eukaryota; Viridiplantae; Streptophyta; Magnoliopsida; Poales; Poaceae
Description: partial small subunit ribosomal RNA
Source: RNAcentral
AUGGUGAAGAAGGUGAAGAUUGGGAUUGCCAAGAGUCAACCCAAGUACAAGUGCUACCGCCUUGAUGACAAGGAUACUCUCUUCUUCAAGGAUCGUAUUGUUGUGCCCAAAGGUGAUCUUCGUAAGGUUAUCAUGAACGAGGCUCACAAUUCACUCCUCUCCAUCCACCCUGGGAGCACGAAGAUGUAUCAGGACCUCAAGCAGGCUUAUUGGUGGACUCGAAUGAAGCGCGAGAUUGCUCAGUUCGUGAAUGAGUGUGAUGUCUGCAGAAGAGUGAAGGCAGAACACCAAAGGCCAGCGGGUCUCCUCCAACCUCUUGCCAUUCCAGAACGGAAGUUUGACCACAUUGAGAUGGACUUCGUGACUGGGUUUCCAAAGUCCAAGCGUGGCAAUGAUGCUAUAUUCGUUGUCAUCGACAAACUCACUAAAGUGGCUCACUUUCUGCCUAUCAAAGAGUCUAUCACUGCAGCUCAAUUGGCGGAGCUGUAUACCUCUCGGAUUGUCUCGCUGCAUGGUAUUCCAUAG